This is an unclassified non-coding RNA of Panthera pardus (leopard), 331 nucleotides long. Its record names the gene 7SK. It matches the Rfam family "7SK RNA". Rfam says of the family: 7SK was discovered as an abundant small nuclear RNA in the mid-70s but a possible function has only recently been suggested. Two independent studies have found that 7SK RNA binds the CDK9/cyclin T complex (known as elongation factor P-TEFb). The record is from Ensembl. Lineage: Eukaryota; Metazoa; Chordata; Mammalia; Carnivora; Felidae.
AGAUGUGAGGGCAAUCUGGCUGCAACAUCUGCCACCCUAUUGAUCAUCAGGGUUGAUCUGGCUGAUCAGGCUGGGUAGGCAGGUGUUCCCUUUCUCCCUCACUGCUCCAUGUGCAUCCCUCCAGAAGAUGUAUACUUGGUCAAAGAGGAUGGCCUUCUCUGAUAAAGAAGGACCUUUCUUUGGUUAAAGAUGUACAAGUAACUGCACUCCCCUGCUAGAAUCUCCAAACAAGCUCUUGGGGUCCAUUUGUAGGAGAAUAUAGGGUAGUCAAGCUUCCAAGACUCCAGACACAUCCAAAUGAGGCACUGCAGGUGGCAGUCUGCCUUUUUUU